RNAcentral lists this ribosomal RNA (253 nucleotides) under uncultured bacterium. RNAcentral describes it as "partial 16S ribosomal RNA". It matches the Rfam family "Bacterial small subunit ribosomal RNA", at positions 524 to 776 of the family's 1533-position model. The record is from RNAcentral.
UACAGAGGGUGCGAGCGUUGUCCGGAAUCACUGGGCGUAAAGGGCGCGUAGGUGGCGACCCAAGUCAAUGGUGAAAGCUCGCCGCUUAACGGCGAGUCGGCCACUGAUACUGGGUUGCUCGAGCACUGUAGAGGCUAAUGGAAUUCCGGGUGUAGCGGUGGAAUGCGUAGAGAUCCGGAAGAACACCGGUGGCGAAGGCGGUUAGCUGGGCAGUUGCUGACACUGAGGCGCGACGGCGUGGGGAGCAAACAGG